AUGGGUAUUGAAGACCAUGAAAAUUUUGAAACCAAAAAAAUUAUCCUAAGUACCGAACAUGAUGUGGAUUUUAAAGUAAAGCUGUACAAUGCUCAGAGUGUAACCCAUUUUGGUUGCAAAAAUUGGGAUGCAUUUUGCAAGAUGUAUGGUCUUGAUGAGGGUAUGCUUGUCACCAUGGAUCUUGGUGAUCCUACAAUCGAGCAAGAGACACCUACGAUUUGGGUCUUUGUGGAUACACCUCCAGUUCUUCCCUCAUCUUAUUUUCAUUCUUCAAAGAAUGUGCGGAAGAUGGUAGACAGAACGUACUACACCGAAGGCUGCGAAUUAACUUAUCAGGAGAAACGACAUCUGGUCGGAUUUUGUAGAGAUCUUGAGAAUUACAAUAUCUACAAUCAAACUCCUCAACAUUAUGGUCAAUACGUGCCACUAGUGCACGUGUUGAACUACAGUAACUACCAUGGAGAUACCUUGAUAAUCCCGAAUGAUUGUGUGCCUCAUCUGAUGUAUACGCGUGGUAGCCUUCAUGUUUUGAACAUACUACCAGGUCGUCCUACGAAUCUCAACUGUCCAUACCGGGUUUCUAAAAGAAGUGGAGACAUAAGAAUUAAAGAAUGGAAAAAAUGUAUGGACAAUCGUAAGGAGCUUCUUGGAAGCAAUAAGCAGCGAAAGGCAAGAAUUGGAGACAGGAUGAUCGCCAUUCUUCAUAAUGGAGAGUCAGGGUCUAUAUUGUUUUACGCUAUUUUACCUUAA
Molecule: ribosomal RNA, 750 nt
Filed under: Triticum aestivum (bread wheat)
Lineage: Eukaryota; Viridiplantae; Streptophyta; Magnoliopsida; Poales; Poaceae
Description: partial small subunit ribosomal RNA
Source: RNAcentral